GGGGUGGUAGCUCAGUUGGGAGAGCAUCUGUUUUGCAAGCAGAGGGCCAGGGGUUCGAGUCCCCUUCACUCCACCA
RNAcentral lists this transfer RNA (76 nucleotides) under Thermotogae bacterium. RNAcentral's name for it is "tRNA-Ala". It matches the Rfam family "tRNA". Rfam says of the family: Transfer RNA (tRNA) molecules are approximately 80 nucleotides in length. Their secondary structure includes four short double-helical elements and three loops (D, anti-codon, and T loops). The record is from RNAcentral. Lineage: Bacteria; Thermotogati; Thermotogota; Thermotogae.